This is a long non-coding RNA of Cornus florida, 848 nucleotides long. RefSeq lists it as uncharacterized. The record is from RefSeq and is a predicted model, not a curated record. NCBI's taxonomy places the organism in Eukaryota, Viridiplantae, Streptophyta, Magnoliopsida, Cornales, Cornaceae. The transcript has 4 exons.
GCAAAUAUUAUAAAAUACUGUUCAAAAAUCAUUUUUAAAAGCACUUUAUAAAAAAAUGCAGAAAGAAGUAAAAAAUAAAUGCCCCCGACAUUUUUCAUUUUUAUUAUUCAUUUUUUAUUUUUAUUUUUUCUUUUUUCAUUUUCCAAUCAAUCCUCAGUUUCUCUCUUUACCCCCAAUCCUCUCUCUCUCUCUCUCUCUCUCUCUCUCGUUCGACUCAGACUCUCUCUCUACCCCCAAUCCUCUCACAUCGCUCCUCGCUUUCUCUCUGGUCGCUCCUUGCUUUCUCUCUCUACCCCACUCCCUUUUCUCCCUAGCUCGACUCAGACUGGUCUCUCCUCUCUCCUCGCUCUUCAAUGGAGAGCUUGAUCUACCAAAAUUAUACUGCGAACACAAUCCCGGUUGGAGUUUGAUUUGGGAGCCAAAUCGACAUCUGAUUCGCCAAAACAGGCCAACAAUCAUCGACGUUAUCUCCAUUUUUGUCCACUCACAGUUUCUUCAAUCGCAUUGCUUAUAGUUGCCUCUUUAAGGACACAAAUAUGGAUAAGAGUUGGAUUCACAGAUCAAGAGUGAGCGAAGAAUAUGUAGAAGGAGUUGGAAACUUAAACCACGAGAUUAUUUUGAAGAAGAAGGUCACGGGAAGGAGGUGGUGGAUGACAUUCCUCCACAAGCAUAAAGAAGCUUGAAAUGUGUUUUGCAACUUUUUGUAGUCAUGAGUCAUUCUUUUGUAAAACACCAUCUUGAAAUGUAAUAAAUUUGCUUAGCAUGGCCUUGUAAUAUAACUAUCGACCUUGAUGCUAUUUUGAUGUAAAUUGAGCUAAGUGUAAUGACUAUGUAUUAUUUCUUAGUUA